Molecule: long non-coding RNA, 1137 nt
Filed under: Olea europaea subsp. europaea
Lineage: Eukaryota; Viridiplantae; Streptophyta; Magnoliopsida; Lamiales; Oleaceae
Source: RNAcentral
UCGGCAUGAAGGAAAUAAUUGUCAAUACACUGUCCGUAGGAACUAACACAGAGCAACCCCGCGUCUCGCCUGUCAUUGGUUUAUAUAUUAUUCAUAGAAAUUAGACUAAACUCAAUUCUUUUCACAUGCUUCCUAUUGGCAGGAAAUUCAGAAACGCAGUCUCAACACACCAUCUCCUUCUUUCUUCAUCGUAUGUAUGUAUGUAUGUAUGUUCUCAAGGAAUUUUUGGGUUCUCUUUUUUAAUCUGUUGAUGUUGUGAGUCCCUGUUAAAAUUUAUGUUUUUGUUAUCUGAUUGGAUGUUGCGAAAAGCCAUUGAAGACAUUCGUCCUUUUAUGGGGACAUUUUCUACGUUCUGUCCUUUUUCCUUUUUCGGAUCUUCUGUUCCAGUGGCAUGAAUGAUAAACCAAUAUAGUGGAAUUUUUUUUUUAAAGAAAACAGUUUUUCACCAAUAAUUUUUGAAGCAAGGGUUAGAAUGCUAUAUUGGUUCUUCAGUUUUAUGAAGAAGUACAGAACUUUUUGAUCCUUUCUUCGGUUCUUUCAAUUUCUUUAUUUUGUAAAGCUAGGUUUUAAUUGUAAUAAUUCUUAUAUUAAAUUUUGUCGGUCUCUUUUCUUUGUAUUUGGGGUACUUGGAGUCGGCAUUUUUUAUUGGUGUAUGGUUGAUCUUGAAUUUUUGGGUUUUCUUUGGAUCUUUCCUGAUUUUUUCAUCUUGUCCUUUCUCUUUUCUCUGUUAUUCUCCUUUUCAGGUUGGGGUGUGAUAUUCAAUUUACUUAAAACUUUUGGGUCAAAAUUUAGAUUUCUCAGUAUGUGUAAUUAUAUUAAUUUUUUACACAGUGUGCCCAAUUUUAGUUUCCACUGAAGUUUAAUUGUUUAAAUUGUUACCUUUCUUAAUUUUUUUUUUUUACUGACCAUGCAUUAUUUUUCGUCUUUUUUUGUAGUGGAAUCAGAGUUAAGAGAACUUUCCUUCUACAUUGUAGGAGAUUCAAUUGGGAAUUGAUGUCCAAGACUUGGACCUUUUAGUUAGUUCUUUUAUUAAUAGAGAACAAGGUACUUCUCAAAUGCUGAGCUUUACUAGGACAAGAACUCAGCAGAGAUCUAAUAGAUCUAUGUCAUUAGGAGGUGAGCGUUUUAUUUUUUUCG